CAUUACAGAGUUCCUGCCCUCACGGGUAGAAACCCCACCCUUGUGUAUAUUAUAUUGUUGCUUUAGCAGGUCGCCCUCUGGGCGUCGGCCUCGGCUGACUGUGCCUGCUAGAGGACCCUAAAUUUUGAAAUACAGUGUCGUCUGAGUACUAUUUAAUAGUUAAAACUUUCAACAACGGAUCUCUUGGUUCUGGCAUCGAUGAAGAACGCAGCGAAAUGCGAUAAGUAAUGUGAAUUGCAGAAUUCAGUGAAUCAUCGAAUCUUUGAACGCACAUUGCGCCCCUUGGUAUUCCGGGGGGCAUGCCUGUUCGAGCGUCAUUUAGACCAACUCCCGCUCCGGCGGGGUCUUGGGCUGCGCCUUUGGGCGGGCCUUAAAACCAGUGGCGGUGCCCUAAGGCUCUACGCGUAGUAAUUCUUCUCGCGAUAGGGUCCUUGCGGUGUCUUGCCAGCAACCCCCAACUCUCUAGGGUUGACCUCGGAU
This 480-nucleotide ribosomal RNA is filed under the name Hymenoscyphus fraxineus. RNAcentral describes it as "eukaryotic LSU rRNA". The stretch from base 164 to 317 matches the Rfam family "5.8S ribosomal RNA". The record is from RNAcentral. Lineage: Eukaryota; Fungi; Ascomycota; Leotiomycetes; Helotiales; Helotiaceae.